Long non-coding RNA from Apteryx rowi (Okarito brown kiwi), 2337 nucleotides. The record is from Ensembl. NCBI's taxonomy places the organism in Eukaryota, Metazoa, Chordata, Aves, Apterygiformes, Apterygidae.
AUGGUUGGCAUGCAUGAAUUUCUCAAGGUGUCCAUCCAGCAAAUGGCCAAGCACAGGGAAAGAUGUGAAAAAGCCUUGGAAAGUCAGGACCCUCAGCAGUUUUCUUGGCAUGCGACUAACCUCACCAGUUGGGCUCAAUGGGUAGUUGAAGCUACUACCAGAUACGUGGACAGAGCCACGGACCCCAUUUUCAGGAAUGGCUUGCUGGUUUGGGUUGAGCAAUUGGGAAACUCCAUUGUUGAGCUGAAAACAGUCAUAGCUCUUUGUCCACAGAGACUCUCCUGCCUCCAAACUAGGCAUGUGUUUUUAAAGACAGUAAAGUGCCUGAUAGAUACUUCUCACCAUGUCCAAGAUGGGCUGGAUGGGUCCAACCACCCAGAUAUCCUUAGCCCUCUCCGGGAACAAGUGCGAAGCACUGAGGUUGCAGAGGAGCUUGAGCUCAGCUCAUCAUGUGCUGGGCUAAAAAAAAUUACUGAUGAGACUGCAUUGCAAGAAGACAUUUUAAGUUGUCUAUCUCCAAGAACAGGUAACAUACACCCAGAUGUUGUUCUGAGGAAAGCAGAUAUACACCCCGUCAUUACAGCGCUCCUGGCAGCAACAAGAGCCCAUGAUAUGGCAGCUGUCAAUGCUACUUGCUCCACUUUGCUUGAACUCUCCAACUGCUGUAUUGAAGCAUCAAAGGAAGCUUUGCCCGUGGUUGAGUCUCCUCUAAUGGAGAUGCUAGGGCAGUACAAGAAUAUCAUAUUACUGACGCCAUGUGUUAUCAGUUUGGCCAGGGAAACAGCCUCAAGGCAGCUUCAUGGUCCAGGCAGACUUCUCCAAAUGGCACUCACACUCUCAGAAAGAAUCUGUGAGACCAAAGAGUGCCUGGCAGCCAUGGCAGGCUCUUGGUAUAGUCUGUCUCAGCAAGUAUUUUGCUUUAUCUUGUCUACUGACUUUCUGAGCAGCAAACAGGCUUUAGAUGAGACUAUGAUGGCUUUAGCAGAAAUUGUUCACUUAGCAGGCGACAUUGCAAGCAUGGCUUGCAAUAAUGGAAAUGAUGUUCUCCCCAGUGUCUGGGAGAGCUUUCUACAGGUCCAAGUCAAAUUUUCACAUGCUCAGAUGAACACCAAAGUGUUACUUGAGAAAGCAGUGUCCUUUGAGGGCUCCCACAGGGUGGGAGARGCCAGCCUGGAGCUGCACUGUGUCCUGUGGGCUGUCAGCAUGCAUGUGCUGCUGAGUGCUGUGGAUCAGUUUAUAGGCAGGGAUGUCCUUUUCUUGAGGGAGCUGAGAAAUGCCAUGAAGCACAAGCUUUGCUUGCAGAGCAUCUUGGCUGCUGUGUCUGAGAACUCCCUGAGGUUGCAGGAGGCUGCCCGGCUGUCGUAUUUGUCCUGCCGUGAAGACUGUGGUUGCAGUGAAAUCCUAGUGCUCAGGGAGGAGAUAAGGGUGCUAAUGGAGGCAUUGCUGGAUGCCUCCAAUACCCUGUCGGGGUCUCUGCUGUCUACUGCCAGUUUGUACAUUCGCUUUGAGCUCCUGCAGAGAGACUUAGCCCUCAGAGCGAAGGCACUAUUGCUCCACCUUGAGAAGGCCAAUAUCGAACACUUACAGGUCAUCCGAGACGUCAUUGGGCCAGCCCUGUCCCCUGUCUCUCAAGAUGACAGAGAGAGGAGCAAACAGGCCUUUGAAGAGAAGGCAGGUCGGCUAAUGGCCAAUGUUCAGUGGGUCAAAAGCACCCUCCAAGAUGUUUUGGAGGCCACUGCUCAACUGCAAUCACAGGUGAGCCUGCUCUCCAUUGCAGACCACCUCCUAGUCCUCACGUCUGAUGCAGUGGGCAGUGCCAGGCAGAUCUUUCAAAGCCCUCAGGAAAAAGGGCAUCUCCGCCUAGAGAUCAUUGUCUGUGACUGGUCAGCGAAAGCACACUACCUCGUGAUGCAGCUUCAGGCUGUUCAGGGCAUCAAUGAACACGUCUUGGAGCUCGUGAGACGGCGCUUACAGAACAUGGGGGACCAGUGCCCUCCAAGGCAAUGCAACAGCAUAGCCAAGUUCUUCCCAGCCCAAGAGUCUGGUGCUCCAAGCCACACUGAGCAGGCAGAAACUCACCCAAGCAGGAGUGGACAGGCAAGUGGAGCUGCCAGGGAUACCUGUGAAAGGCAACAGAAUGGUCCUCCCAGUGUCUCCCCUGCCAGCAGGCCCAAGGAACCCAUGGGAGAAGACGGUGACGCACGGCAGGGUGGCCCCAACUGGAUGUCCCAGGUCACCAAGGACAUGGCAGCGAGGAUGCUUCACAUGACGCAAUUCCUGAGGAAGAAAGGCCCAAUCACGGUAUGGUUUAUUUCAUCCUGCACCCCAGCACUUUAG